AGAAUCAACGCUGGCGGCGUGCCUAACACAUGCAAGUCGAACGAGAAAGUGGAGCAAUCCAUGAGUAAAGUGGCGACCGGGUGAGUAACACGUGACUAACCUACCUUCGAGUGGGGGAUAACCUCGGGAAACCGAGGCUAAUACCGCAUAACAUCGCAAGAUCAAAGCAGCAAUGCGCUGGAAGAGGGGGUCGCGGCUGAUUAGCUAGUUGGCGGGUAACGCCCACCAAGGCGAAGAUCGGUAGCCGGCCUGAGAGGGCGCACGGCCACACUGGAACUGAAACACGGUCCAGACUCCUACGGGAGGCAGCAGUGGGGAAUUUUGCGCAAUGGGGGAAACCCUGACGCAGCAACGCCGCGUGGAGGAUGAAGCCCCUUGGGGCGUAAACUCCUUUCGACCAAGACGAUAAUGACGGUACUGGUGGAAGAAGCACCGGCUAACUCUGCGCCAGCAGCCGC
Molecule: ribosomal RNA, 458 nt
Filed under: uncultured bacterium
Lineage: Bacteria
Description: SSU rRNA
Rfam family: Bacterial small subunit ribosomal RNA
Source: RNAcentral